GAUGAACGCUGGCGGCGUGCCUAACACAUGCAAGUCGAGCGAACCCUUCGGGGUGAGCGGCGGACGGGUGAGUAACGCGUGGGUAACCUGCCCUAUACACACGGAUAACGUACCGAAAGGUACGCUAAUACGGGAUAAAGUUGUUGGAUGGCAUCUUCUAACAAUCAAAGCUCCGGCGGUAUAGGAUGGACCCGCGUCUGAUUAGCUAGUUGGUGAGGUAAUGGCUCACCAAGGCGACGAUCAGUAGCCGACCUGAGAGGGUGAUCGGCCACACUGGAACUGAGACACGGUCCAGACUCCUACGGGAGGCAGCAGUGGGGAUAUUGCACAAUGGGCGAAAGCCUGAUGCAGCAACGCCGCGUGAGCGAUGAAGGUCUUCGGAUCGUAAAGCUCUGUCCUCAAGGAAGAUAAUGACGGUACUUGGGGAGGAAGCCCCGGCUAACUACGUGCCAGCCGCCGCGGUAA
This 465-nucleotide ribosomal RNA is filed under the name uncultured bacterium. RNAcentral's name for it is "partial 16S ribosomal RNA". It matches the Rfam family "Bacterial small subunit ribosomal RNA", at positions 28 to 523 of the family's 1533-position model. The record is from RNAcentral.